This is a long non-coding RNA of Falco peregrinus (peregrine falcon), 4102 nucleotides long. RefSeq lists it as uncharacterized. The record is from RefSeq and is a predicted model, not a curated record. Lineage: Eukaryota; Metazoa; Chordata; Aves; Falconiformes; Falconidae. The transcript is spliced from 10 exons.
GCCUGGCCGCCGAGUGAGCCCGCGGGGCCGGGGCUGGCCGGCUGCGGUAUCCCAGCGGGAGGAAGCUCCAGGCAGCAAACAACAAACGGCACUUUUGAGACUGGCUGCUACGUCUCCUCCCAGGCACUGCUGUGAUGUCCUCCUGCCCUGCUCUGAGCAAUCCCUGUUGGUGCUACUGUAACAGCUGGAGGCCAGCUAGGAACGAACACGGGAAUAUUUUAGGUGAUGAGUGAAGAAACCAGUUGGAGCCCCGUGUUCUCCCUGAGCGUCGGCAGAGGUGUUUCCGCGGGCCGGCUGCGAGUGCGCCUUCAGACACAGCACGGCACUCGCUGCAGCUCCGCUCCGAGGGCCUGGCGCUGCCAAGAGCUGUGAGUUUAAAACUAGCUGAGCCUCCCACACGGCAACAUGAUUUACUAAACCACUAAGAUAUUGGGUCAGCCUUGUAAAUCAUUUUAAUUAUUUCACUAAACAGGUUGUGGAAAUAGAUCAAUAGAAAAUAUGGCAUUUAGGCUUACAAUGCUGUGCAUUCAUUAUGGGAAAGAAAUUAUAUUAAAUGAUUUAGGAGCUAAUAAUAUCUGAAAAUAACAAUUUAAUGGAAGCCUUCCAAUCCUGCACUUUGAAAGCAGGAUACAGCUAUACACAGUCUACCCAUUUUAAUCUCAGUCAAGUAUACACAGCAAUUUUUUGAUUCUCAGAGAAAUGUCAGUCAAGUACAAGUAACUUACAGACUUUCAGCAUCCCAUAAAUUACAUUAUAAUAAAACAAAACCAAAGAAACUGUCAACAAUCAUUUUUACAUACUGGCAGGGUCACACAAACCAGGCACGUAAAAAAUAAGAAAAUACAUUACAAUAUAACAAAGUGGCGGUGUUACACAGCAGGGGCUAUUUUCCACUUGCAAUUGCUAUUUCUGUGAGACUGUGGUUUGCACUGCUGGGCUUGAAGGGCACUUCUCUCUAAAAUGUUGGGGGUUUGUUUCAAACAUCAGAAUACUAAAUGCAUGCUGUAUACAUGAAAUAUAGAUAAAGAGACGGCAAGGGAAAGAAACCAGAAACCAGAAAAACCUAAUCUCUCCUGUGCAGAAAAAGCCAGGUGUCACCGUUCAGUACUUGAGGUCAGCAUUGCUCUGUGACAAUUAUUUUACUGUGGCUAAACUAAAUUUGGUACGCUGUGUCCUGGUUUUCUUAAUGCAUGCAUGAUAGUCACCUGUGCUGUUAAAAUAUUUUCUCCUGAAAUAAGCUGUGCAUUGUGACUAUGUAAUGCCUUAUUGGCCAUCAAGUAACUACGCUGAACCAAGCAGGCACGACUGUGGGCAGAAUUUAAGCUGCAAUCAGAUAGUGCACCUGUGUCGCCUGCUCGUUUCAAAGUCUGCAGCCUACUGAUAGGCAGUUGUCAUAUCAGCUAUCUCCACUCUGGUUUGCAGGCAGAGUUAAGCUUUGCUUUAAGGCCUCUGGCUAGAUAGCAUUUGAAUUAUGCACUUCAUCACACCCCAAUUAGCUGGGGAUGCAUGACGAAAAUCAUUAUCAGUGAGUUUAUUUGGGAAAACACCUUAUUUGCUACUUGGUUCAGCAUAUGAAGGAAAACACCUCCACCCCCCCUCUUUCUCUCCACUGAGAAAAGCUUGUUUUAAAGCAGAGGGAAACUUUGAGCUGUGGCAAAUUGUUCUGCUCCUGCUUAUUCACCUGCCCCCUUGAGCUCCAUCUGGCCGUUUUAGGAACGUUAAGUGUUGCGCAAAUAAAAAUAAAUGGCUUCAGCAUGACCACAGAACUGACUGAGCACAUUCCCUGUGCAGGCUGUGCAGCAUGUCUGUCUCUUACUCCCAAGACCCCGCAGCAGUUCAGAUUUUGACAGGUGCCUGGUGUGUGUUGCUACCUACUGUUUGCUGGCGUUUGAGCUCCCCCAGCCCGGCAGCAGCGAGGCGAGCCUUUCUCCUGUCUCCCCUUACACACUGAAGAACUGCAAGGUGGCCACAUCUACAAACCCACAACAGGAUCAGUGCACUGCCUUCAGCUUCUCUUGUGCACUUCCUUGAGUGCUGUGUUCCCCUCAGGGUAACAGGUACCACUGACGCACGGUUCCAGCUAGAUCAUCGCUCAGCACCGUUAUUCCUUGGCCUGACUCAGAACUAGAUGUGCACACCAUUUCCUUGUCCAAAGAUUUAUCAGCAUUCCCAAGGAAGCGCAGCUCCCAAGCUCCCGCGCUGCCUGGCUCAGUCACGGGCCGCUAAUUUUCCUAUGGAGUAACUGCAACUGUGUGACCAAAACCCAGACCUGCCCCACGCAUGCACACAGCCGUGGGCUCUGCCUCAGGGCAUCUUGCCAGAGAGCGAAGCCCCAGACGCCCAGCAGCCCCCUGCAUCGCAGGAAAUGAAAAAUGACAUGUUCAGACAGUCCUUUGCAUUCUGCCUCACUGUGAAGCUGCUCACUCGCCCAUCUUCCCUUCGGUGGGGCUCUGGCCCUCUGGCCACGCACAGUGAUGUUUUCAGGACUGCACACUUUCUUUUCUUCAGGAGUUUUGCCAGAACAGGAGCAUACCAGGAAAUGACUCAGCUCUGGCCCCCAACAGCCAUCACUCACGUUUCCCAGCUCAGCUGCUCGCUGGCUUUGCGAGGAGGAGCCGCUGACUGUGCUGUCCCCAGCGCCAGGACCAGGCGCCGUCUCCUCGGGUGCCCGGUGACGCACCCACCCCACCACCGGCGCUGGAGAACGUUCUGCCCGGCUCUGCGUGGCACUGCAGGAGACACGCUGCCUUUCCGUGGCUCUGCAGUCCAAGCACUUAUUCCUAAUCAAUUCUGACAGCAGACACCACGAGGAAUGCUGAGAUUUAUGAAAGAGCAAGAUUUGCCACUAGCCUCUGUCUAUUAAGGGUGCAGCAAACCCUCACUUUGCCCUUUGUAAAUACAACCAGCAGAAGCAAGGCACUUGCCCUUUUCAGAAGAGCGAGCACUCUCAAAGGACAGAUGCUUUAGCAAAAGUCUUUAACACGCUUGCAAGCAGUGAGGUUCCAAAUUCUCUAUGUUCUUCCAUCAAAAUGCUUCUCAUUUCUUUAAGUGCUUUUUAAAGACUAAAUACUGUACUGAAAGCUGCUGCCUUCUUUUUAGCCAUGGGGCUAAAGCAUGCAUGGGGCCAAACGUAGGCUGUGUGUUUUGCAAAAAAGCUGACCUGAACGUGGAAACAGAGGCCCCAGAACCUGGAGGACUCAUUCUGCACGAUUCUGAAGGCGACGCAUAGCAAAGAAGGAAGAUGAGUCACUGACAAAUACUCACUGCCCUUGAGAAAAAGCAGCAGUGCUGAGGAGGUCGCCAGAGGACUCACAGUUCAAACCCAGGCUGGUUUCGCCUUUGUGACCGGCCAUUACUCGAAGGAUUAGAGCUUUCAUGACAUUACAGACUCCACACAUACGUCUGCUUGAAUAAUUGUCCUUGAACAAGUUCCCAGACAUGAAUGCCAGUAUUAAUUUAGGUGUAGUCCAACAUCCAAAUUUUUUUUUCCAUCCGUCUUUUCCUUUCAGGUUAUAAGACUCACCCUCCUGUGCACCUAUGGAAGCCGAGGACUGUGUACUUCAGUGUCUUGCGCUUUGAUGCGCUUUACAGGCUUGCAGCAACCAUCUCCCCCAAGUUCUUCCAAAGAGCAGUUCUGCUUUUUCUGGGACGAUUAUGUAUUCUCCAAUCCACAGGAAACUACAGCUGGCAUUAAGAGGAUGAACAUUCUUACAAAGAAAAGAUUUUGCCACCUUCGGAUCCCCGUGGAGAGGACUCUGGCAUGUCCUGCUUCUGCUCCACAGCUUCUACAGGCAGAGCCCUGCUGGCGCUUAGUUGUCACUUUACCAUUUUCACAAUUAAGGUCCUUUCUGAAAUGCUACACAAAUGAAAGGGUAAGCACCACAGUCAGACAUAGGAAAUCUCAAAGUACGCCACUAAAUUCAGCUAAAGAAGGUCGUGGCUUUUUACCAAGUAACCUGUUAUCUCACUUAAAACCCAUGUAUUCUGCAACAGAAAAGUAACUGCUAUAUUUACUGUAAGAAAGCCUUUUGCUUCAUUAAAGGCAGGCUCACUGGGUAAGACAAGUGACACAAUUACAUAAUUUUAAAAACCCAAACAUAUU